GCCCUACUUAACUUAUGUAAGGUGAAACCUGCUCAAUGGUUGCUAAUAAUAAGUAAAAACAAUUAAAUAGCCGCGGUAACUCUGACCGUGAUAAAGUAGCAUAAUCACUCGUCAUUUAAUUGGUGACUGGAAUGAAUGGUUAAACGAAUCUUUAACUGUCUCAAGAAGAAAAUAAUUUAAUUUGAACUAACAGUGAAGAUGCUGUUAAAUGAUUAUAAGACGAAAAGACCCUAUCGAGCUUUACUAAAAGCUUAUAGAAUUUUGAUAAAAAAGAAUUUAAAUCACUUAACCUGUAAGCUUGUUAGUUUGGUUGGGGCGACCACCUCUAAAAAAGUAUCAGAGGAAUUCUAAAGGUUAAUUAAUAAUAUAUAAUGCCUUACUGUAUACAGACCAGUUAAUCAGUCACCUACAGGUGAGAUAUAGUGACCCGUUAGACAGCUAUUAUAAUCUAACGAUUAUGAAAAAAGUUACCGUAGGGAUAACAGGGUAAUAUUUUCGAAGAGUCCAUAUCGAUGAAAAUGUUUGCCACCUCGAUGUUGAAUUGUGAUAUCCUAAAGGUGUAGCAGCUUUUAAGGGUUG
RNAcentral lists this ribosomal RNA (579 nucleotides) under Rhopilema hispidum. RNAcentral's name for it is "partial 16S large subunit ribosomal RNA". It matches the Rfam family "Bacterial large subunit ribosomal RNA", at positions 1832 to 2574 of the family's 2925-position model. The record is from RNAcentral. Lineage: Eukaryota; Metazoa; Cnidaria; Scyphozoa; Rhizostomeae; Rhizostomatidae.